This 374-nucleotide ribosomal RNA is filed under the name uncultured organism. RNAcentral describes it as "partial 16S ribosomal RNA". It matches the Rfam family "Bacterial small subunit ribosomal RNA", at positions 527 to 896 of the family's 1533-position model. The record is from RNAcentral.
GUAGGUGGCAAGCGUUGUCCGGAAUUAUUGGGCGUAAAGCGCGCACAGGCGGUUCUUUAAGUCUGAUGUGAAAGCCCACGGCUCAACCGUGGAGGGUCAUUGGAAACUGGAGAACUUGAGUACAGAAGAGGAAAGCGGAAUUCCACGUGUAGCGGUGAAAUGCGUAGAGAUGUGGAGGAACACCAGUGGCGAAGGCGGCUUUUCUGGUCUGUAACUGACGCUGAGGCGCGAAAGCGUGGGGAGCAAACAGGGAUUAGAUACCCUGGUAGUCCACGCCGUAAACGAUGAGUGCUAAGUGUUAGGGGGUUUCCGCCCCCUUAGUGCUGCAGCUAACGCAUUAAGCACUCCGCCUGGGGAGUACGGCCGCAAGGCUG